GUCUUUUUGAUAAUAAUUUAAAGUCUCGCCUGCCCACUGAAUAUUAAAUGGCCGCGGUAUUUUGACCGUGCAAAGGUAGCAUAAUCAUUAGUUUUUUAAUUGAAAGCUGGAAUGAAUGGUUGGAUGAAAAAAAAUCUGUCUCAAGUUAAAUUUAUUAGAAUUUUAUUUUUAAGUUAAAAAGCUUAAAUAUUUUUAAAAGACGAGAAGACCCUAUAGAGUUUUAUAAAAUUAAUAAUAAAAUUUAUAAAGAAUAAAUUUUUUUUUAUUUUUAAUUUUAUUUAAUUGGGGUGAUUGAAAAAUUAAAUAAACUUUUUUUAUAUAAAAACAUAAAUUUAUGAAUAAAUGAUCCAUUAAUAAUGAUUAUAAGAAUAAAUUACCUUAGGGAUAACAGCGUAAUUUUUUCAGAGAGUUCUAAUCGACGAAAAAGAUUGCGACCUCGAUGUUGGAUUAAAAUUUAUAUUUGGUGAAGAAGCUAAAUUAUUAGGUCUGUUCGACCUUUAAAAUUUUACA
RNAcentral lists this ribosomal RNA (510 nucleotides) under Ancylopus bisignatus. Its description in RNAcentral is "partial 16S ribosomal RNA". It matches the Rfam family "Archaeal large subunit ribosomal RNA", at positions 1911 to 2669 of the family's 2987-position model. Lineage: Eukaryota; Metazoa; Arthropoda; Insecta; Coleoptera; Endomychidae. The record is from RNAcentral.